GGGUCUAUGGCUUAGCGGCUGAGCAGCAUCCUUUUAAGAUGCAUUAGGUUGGUUCAACUCCAACUGGACCCACCA
This 75-nucleotide transfer RNA is filed under the name Gloeobacterales cyanobacterium ES-bin-313. Its description in RNAcentral is "tRNA-Lys". It matches the Rfam family "tRNA". Rfam says of the family: Transfer RNA (tRNA) molecules are approximately 80 nucleotides in length. Their secondary structure includes four short double-helical elements and three loops (D, anti-codon, and T loops). Further hydrogen bonds mediate the characteristic L-shaped molecular structure. tRNAs have two regions of fundamental functional importance: the anti-codon, which is responsible for specific mRNA codon recognition, and the 3' end, to which the tRNAs corresponding amino acid is attached (by aminoacyl-tRNA synthetases). tRNAs cope with the degeneracy of the genetic code in two manners: having more than one tRNA (with a specific anti-codon) for a particular amino acid; and 'wobble' base-pairing, i.e. permitting non-standard base-pairing at the 3rd anti-codon position. The record is from RNAcentral. Lineage: Bacteria; Bacillati; Cyanobacteriota; Cyanophyceae; Gloeobacterales.